UAAAACAACAAAACAUGUCACGGAAGAAAUCAUAUUUUCCAGAGUGAAGUGGAGGAAUCAGAUGUGACUGUCUGUGGGACACGAACUAACCUGGGAGAGGCGACCCUAUUUCCUGAUUUAGGCUUUUCCCUGGUCAAUCUCCCACUGUGACCUCAGAGACCAUAAAUGAUCUUUGUUUUCUUCAGAGAAGAACAAGGAGGUAGUUGAUUUAGAGGCUGCUGGACUGGUCCAAUUUUCAGAACAAGUGAUUUAUUGUGGAUCUUCCAGAAUUGCUCUUUUAAUAAGUUUUCUUUUGUUUUUAAGGAAGAGCCAUGAUAAGUGGGAUUUCUGGUCCUCUGACCAAGCAGAUGAAAAUUACCAAAGGACAAGCAACACCGGCUUUCCGAAUCCCACUUCUGCCCAGAAGAAGAAGAAGAAGAAAAUUGGAUUCUGCUGAAAUCUAAGAAGGACACAGAGCUGCAGUGUUGUUUUGUUCCCGUUGAAGGUGAACUUCAUCAAUCAGUUGGAAGCCUUAAGAGCAAAGACAGGUUUCCCAAAGAAGGAAUUGAGCUUCACAGCUGCAACACAGAAAUUCUGCCCAAGGUUCCAACAUACCUGGCCUGCCCUGUAGAAUUCGCACUCAAGAUUGCAACACCGACUCUUAGCUGAAUAUCCAGCCUGCCAGUCUGCCCUGCAAAUUUCAAACUUUCCAACCCCCAUAAUCACUUGAGCAUAAAAUAAAAUAAAAUGUCUGAAAAUAAAAUAGAAUUCCUUAAAAUAAAAUAAGAUAUUGGUUCUUUUUCUUUGGAGAACUCUAAUACAAACAGGAAGAUAAAUCUUCUCUCCUCAUCCAUUAAGUCAUA
RNAcentral lists this long non-coding RNA (842 nucleotides) under Mustela putorius furo (domestic ferret). RNAcentral's name for it is "lncRNA (ENSMPUG00000030166.1)". Lineage: Eukaryota; Metazoa; Chordata; Mammalia; Carnivora; Mustelidae. The record is from RNAcentral.